RNAcentral lists this ribosomal RNA (501 nucleotides) under uncultured bacterium. RNAcentral's name for it is "bacterial SSU rRNA". It matches the Rfam family "Bacterial small subunit ribosomal RNA", at positions 28 to 516 of the family's 1533-position model. The record is from RNAcentral.
GAUGAACGCUAGCUACAGGCUUAACACAUGCAAGUCGAGGGGAAACGAUAGAGAAAGCUUGCUUUUUCUAGGCGUCGACCGGCGCACGGGUGAGUAACGCGUAUCCAACCUGCCCAUCACUUGGGGAUAACCUUGCGAAAGUAGACUAAUACCCAAUGACGUCUCUAGAAGACAUCUGAAAGAGAUUAAAGAUUUAUCGGUGAUGGAUGGGGAUGCGUCUGAUUAGCUUGUUGGCGGGGUAACGGCCCACCAAGGCGACGAUCAGUAGGGGUUCUGAGAGGAAGGUCCCCCCANAUUGGAACUGAGACACGGUCCAAAACUCCUACGGGAGGCAGCAGUGAGGAAUAUUGGUCAAUGGACGAGAGUCUGAACCAGCCAAGUAGCGUGCAGGAAGACGGCCCUAUGGGUUGUAAACUGCUUUAUAAGGGAAUAAAGUGAGUCUCGUGAGACUUUUUGCAUGUACCAUAUGAAUAAGGAUCGGCUAACUCCGUGCCAGCAGCC